RNAcentral lists this ribosomal RNA (465 nucleotides) under uncultured Klebsiella sp. RNAcentral's name for it is "bacterial SSU rRNA". It matches the Rfam family "Bacterial small subunit ribosomal RNA", at positions 338 to 795 of the family's 1533-position model. The record is from RNAcentral. Lineage: Bacteria; Pseudomonadati; Pseudomonadota; Gammaproteobacteria; Enterobacterales; Enterobacteriaceae.
CCUACGGGAGGCUGCAGUGGGGAAUAUUGCACAAUGGGCGCAAGCCUGAUGCAGCCAUGCCGCGUGUGUGAAGAAGGCCUUCGGGUUGUAAAGCACUUUCAGCGGGGAGGAAGGCGGUGAGGUUAAUAACCUCAUCGAUUGACGUUACCCGCAGAAGAAGCACCGGCUAACUCCGUGCCAGCAGCCGCGGUAAUACGGAGGGUGCAAGCGUUAAUCGGAAUUACUGGGCGUAAAGCGCACGCAGGCGGCCUGUCAAGUCGGAUGUGAAAUCCCCGGGCUCAACCUGGGAACUGCAUUCGAAACUGGCAGGCUAGAGUCUUGUAGAGGGGGGUAGAAUUCCAGGUGUAGCGGUGAAAUGCGUAGAGAUCUGGAGGAAUACCGGUGGCGAAGGCGGCCCCCUGGACAAAGACUGACGCUCAGGUGCGAAAGCGUGGGGAGCAAACAGGAUUAGAUACCCGAGUAGUC